Molecule: non-coding RNA, 72 nt
Organism: Bos taurus (domestic cattle)
Lineage: Eukaryota; Metazoa; Chordata; Mammalia; Artiodactyla; Bovidae
Source: Rfam
UCCCUGGUGGCUCAGAGGUUAAAGCAUCUGCCUGCAACGUGGGAGACCUGGGUUCAAUCCCUGGGUGGGGAA